Molecule: ribosomal RNA, 378 nt
Filed under: uncultured eukaryote
Lineage: Eukaryota
Description: partial 18S ribosomal RNA
Rfam family: Eukaryotic small subunit ribosomal RNA
Source: RNAcentral
CAAUAGCGUAUAUUUAAGUUGUUGCAGUUAAAAAGCUCGUAGUUGGAUUUCGGAUGGGACUUGCCGGUCCGUCGUUGCGAUGUGCACUGGCCAGUCCUAUCUUGUUGUCGGGGACUAGCUCUUGGUCUUCACUGGCCGGGACUAGGAGCUGACGAGGUUACUUUGAGUAAAUUAGAGUGUUCAAAGCAAGCCUACGCUCUGAAUACAUUAGCAUGGAAUAACACGAUAGGACUCUGGCUUAUCUUGUUGGUCUGUGAGACCAGAGUAAUGAUUAAGAGGGACAGUCGGGGACAUUCGUAUUUCAUUGUCAGAGGUGAAAUUCUUGGAUUUAUGAAAGACGAACUUCUGCGAAAGCAUUUGUCAAGGAUGUUUUCAUUA